This 392-nucleotide ribosomal RNA is filed under the name uncultured bacterium. RNAcentral's name for it is "bacterial SSU rRNA". It matches the Rfam family "Bacterial small subunit ribosomal RNA", at positions 28 to 422 of the family's 1533-position model. The record is from RNAcentral.
GACGAACGCUGGCGGCGUGCUUAACACAUGCAAGUCGAGCGGUAAGGCCCUUUCGGGGGUACACGAGCGGCGAACGGGUGAGUAACACGUGGGUGACCUGCCCUCAGCUCUGGGAUAAGCCUGGGAAACUGGGUCUAAUACUGGAUAUGACUCCACGGUGCAUGUCGUGGGGUGGAAAGCCUUGUGCGGCUGAGGAUGGGCCCGCGGCCUAUCAGCUUGUUGGUGGGGUGAGGCCUACCAAGGCGACGACGGGUAGCCGGCCUGAGAGGGCGACCGGCCACACUGGGACUGAGACACGGCCCAGACUCCUACGGGAGGCAGCAGUGGGGAAUCUUGCGCAAUGGGCGAAAGCCUGACGCAGCGACGCCGCGUGAGGGAUGGCGGCCUUAGGG